This 253-nucleotide ribosomal RNA is filed under the name uncultured bacterium. RNAcentral describes it as "partial 16S ribosomal RNA". It matches the Rfam family "Bacterial small subunit ribosomal RNA", at positions 524 to 776 of the family's 1533-position model. The record is from RNAcentral.
GACGUAGGUGGCAAGCGUUGUUCGGAAUCACUGGGCAUAAAGCGCACGUAGGCGGCUGCGUAAGUCGGACGUGAAAUACCUCGGCUCAACCGAGGAACGGCGUUUGAUACUGCGCGGCUUGAGGUCCGGAGGGGAGAGUGGAAUUCCCGGUGGAGCGGUGAAAUGCGUAGAGAUCGGGAAGAACGCCGGCGGCGAAAGCGACUCUCUGGUCGGAAUCUGACGCUGAGGUGCGAAAGCUAGGGGAGCAAACGGG